Molecule: transfer RNA, 84 nt
Filed under: Anaerosinus gibii
Lineage: Bacteria; Bacillati; Bacillota; Negativicutes; Selenomonadales; Sporomusaceae
Description: Selenomonadaceae bacterium ICN-92133 tRNA-Leu
Rfam family: tRNA
About the family: Transfer RNA (tRNA) molecules are approximately 80 nucleotides in length. Their secondary structure includes four short double-helical elements and three loops (D, anti-codon, and T loops).
Source: RNAcentral
GCGGGAGUGGCGGAAUUGGCAGACGCACCAGACUUAGGAUCUGGCGCCUUUGGCGUGGGGGUUCAAGUCCCUUCUCCCGCACCA